RNAcentral lists this transfer RNA (84 nucleotides) under Candidatus Methanophagales archaeon. RNAcentral describes it as "tRNA-Leu". It matches the Rfam family "tRNA". Rfam says of the family: Transfer RNA (tRNA) molecules are approximately 80 nucleotides in length. Their secondary structure includes four short double-helical elements and three loops (D, anti-codon, and T loops). Further hydrogen bonds mediate the characteristic L-shaped molecular structure. tRNAs have two regions of fundamental functional importance: the anti-codon, which is responsible for specific mRNA codon recognition, and the 3' end, to which the tRNAs corresponding amino acid is attached (by aminoacyl-tRNA synthetases). tRNAs cope with the degeneracy of the genetic code in two manners: having more than one tRNA (with a specific anti-codon) for a particular amino acid; and 'wobble' base-pairing, i.e. permitting non-standard base-pairing at the 3rd anti-codon position. The record is from RNAcentral. Lineage: Archaea; Methanobacteriati; Methanobacteriota; Methanomicrobia; Candidatus Methanophagales. RNAcentral also lists the same sequence under 1 other name.
GCGGAGGUUGCCGAGUUGGACAAAGGCGUGAGGUUCAGGGCCUCAUCCCGAAGGGGUUCGGGAGUUCGAAUCUCCCCCUCCGCA